Molecule: unclassified non-coding RNA, 235 nt
Filed under: Ascomycota sp.
Lineage: Eukaryota; Fungi; Ascomycota
Description: partial contains small subunit ribosomal RNA, internal transcribed spacer 1, and 5.8S ribosomal RNA
Rfam family: Eukaryotic small subunit ribosomal RNA (bases 1-47)
Source: RNAcentral
AAAGUCGUAACAAGGUCUCCGUUGGUGAACCAGCGGAGGGAUCAUUACUGAGUGCAAACUCUCCAACCAUUGUGUAUCUAUUUAUUUAGAACUUCUCCGGUAGGCAGUCCCAGGGCGGGACUGAGCCUAGGCGUCUGCCCAAGCACCUGCCGAGAAGAACUAUUGCUCUUUAUUAUACUAUCUGAGGAACUAAAAAAAAAUAUCAAAAUUUUCAAUUGUGGAUCUCUUGGUUCUG